Molecule: ribosomal RNA, 118 nt
Filed under: Lepisosteus oculatus (spotted gar)
Lineage: Eukaryota; Metazoa; Chordata; Actinopteri; Semionotiformes; Lepisosteidae
Source: RNAcentral
GCUGGCAGCCAUAUCACCCUGCAACUCACAACUGGCAACCCACUGAAGCUAAGCAAGUUGAGCCUGGUCAGUGCCUGGAUGGGAGACCUCCUGGGAAAAACUAAGGUUGCUGCUGGAA